RNAcentral lists this ribosomal RNA (437 nucleotides) under uncultured bacterium. Its description in RNAcentral is "bacterial SSU rRNA". It matches the Rfam family "Bacterial small subunit ribosomal RNA", at positions 338 to 792 of the family's 1533-position model. The record is from RNAcentral.
CCUACGGGGGGCUGCAGUGGGGAAUAUUGCACAAUGGGCGAAAGCCUGAUGCAGCAACGCCGCGUGAGCGAUGAAGGCCUUCGGGUCGUAAAGCUCUGUCCUCAAGGAAGAUAGUGACGGUACUUGAGGAGGAAGCCACGGCUAACUACGUGCCAGCAGCCGCGGUAAUACGUAGGUGGCGAGCGUUGUCCGGAUUUACUGGGCGUAAAGGGAGCGUAGGCGGAUUUUUAAGUGAGAUGUGAAAUACCCGGGCUCAACUUGGGUGCUGCAUUUCAAACUGGAAGUCUAGAGUGCAGGAGAGGAGAGUGGAAUUCCUAGUGUAGCGGUGAAAUGCGUAGAUAUUAGGAGGAACACCAGUAGCGAAGGCGGCUCUCUGGACUGUAACUGACGCUGAGGCACGAAAGCGUGGGGAGCAAACAGGAUUAGAUACCCUGGUA